AACGAACGCUGGCGGCAGGCCUAACACAUGCAAGUCGAACGCCCUAGCAAUAGGGAGUGGCAGACGGGUGAGUAACACGUGGGAACCUUCCCUAUAGUACGGAAUAUACCAGGGAAACUUGGAGCAAUACCGUAUACGCCCGAGAGGGGAAAGAUUUAUCGCUAUAGGAUGGGCCCGCGUAGGAUUAGCUAGUUGGUGAGGUAAUGGCUCACCAAGGCGACGAUCCUUAGCUGGUUUGAGAGAACGACCGGCCACACUGGGACUGAGACACGGCCCAGACUCCUACGGGAGGCAGCAGUGGGGAAUCUUGCGCAAUGGGCGAAAGCCUGACGCAGCGACGCCGCGUGAGGGAUGACGGCCUCG
RNAcentral lists this ribosomal RNA (363 nucleotides) under uncultured bacterium. RNAcentral's name for it is "bacterial SSU rRNA". It matches the Rfam family "Bacterial small subunit ribosomal RNA", at positions 29 to 419 of the family's 1533-position model. The record is from RNAcentral.